GAUGAAGACGUAGCGAAAUGCGAUAAGUAAUGUGAAUUGCAGAAUUCAGUGAAUCAUCGAAUCUUUGAACGCACAUUGCGCCCGCCAGUAUUCUGGCGGGCAUGCCUGUCCGAGCGUCAUUUCAACCCUCGAACCCCUCCGGGGGGUCGGCGUUGGGGAUCGGCCCUUUCACCGGGUGCCGGCCCCUAAAUACAGUGGCGGUCUCGCCGCAGCCUCUCAUGCGCAGUAGUUUGCACACUCGCACCGGGAGCGCGGCGCGUCCUCGUCCGUAAAACACCCCAAACUUCUGAAAUGUUGACCUCGGAUCAGGUAGGAAUACCCGCUGAACUUAAGCAUAUCAAUAAGCGGAGGA
RNAcentral lists this unclassified non-coding RNA (352 nucleotides) under soil metagenome. RNAcentral describes it as "partial contains 5.8S ribosomal RNA, internal transcribed spacer 2, and large subunit ribosomal RNA". The stretch from base 1 to 119 matches the Rfam family "5.8S ribosomal RNA", at positions 35 to 154 of the family's 154-position model. The record is from RNAcentral.